UACGUAGGGUCCGAGCGUUGUCCGGAGUUACUGGGCGUAAAGCGCGCGCAGGCGGCUCGGCCAAGCAUGGCGUGAAAGCCCCCGGCUCAACCGGGGAGAGUCGUCGUGGACUGUCGAGCUUGAGGGCGGUAGGGGUUGGUGGAAUUCCCGGUGUAGUGGUGAAAUGCGUAGAGAUCGGGAGGAACACCCUGGCGAAGGCGGCCAACUGGGCCGACCCUGACGCUGAGGCGCGAAGGCGUGGGGAGCGAACGGGG
Molecule: ribosomal RNA, 254 nt
Filed under: uncultured bacterium
Lineage: Bacteria
Description: partial 16S ribosomal RNA
Rfam family: Bacterial small subunit ribosomal RNA
Source: RNAcentral